UGGGGAAUUUUGGACAAUGGGCGAAAGCCUGAUCCAGCAAUGCCGCGUGUGUGAAGAAGGCCUUCGGGUUGUAAAGCACUUUUGUCCGGAAAGAGAUUCUCUGGGUUAAUACCUCGGGGGGAUGACGGUACCGGAAGAAUAAGCACCGGCUAACUACGUGCCAGCAGCCGCGGUAAUACGUAGGGUGCAAGCGUUAAUCGGAAUUACUGGGCGUAAAGCGUGCGCAGGCGGUUUUGUAAGACGGAUGUGAAAUCCCCGGGCUUAACCUGGGAACUGCAUUCGUGACUGCAAGGCUAGAGUAUGGCAGAGGGGGGUAGAAUUCCACGUGUAGCAGUGAAAUGCGUAGAGAUGUGGAGGAAUACCGAUGGCGAAGGCAGCCCCCUGGGCCAAUACUGACGCUCAUGCACGAAAGCGUGGGGAGCAAACAGGAUUAGAUACCCUGGUAGUCCACGCCCUAAACGAUGUCAACUAGUUGUUGGGGAUUCAUUUCCUUAGUAACGUAGCUAACACGUGAAGUUGACCGCCUGGGGAGUACGGUCGCAAGAUUAAAACUCAAAUGAAUUGACGGGGUCAUAGCUGUUUCCU
RNAcentral lists this ribosomal RNA (585 nucleotides) under uncultured bacterium. RNAcentral's name for it is "partial 16S ribosomal RNA". It matches the Rfam family "Bacterial small subunit ribosomal RNA", at positions 355 to 1375 of the family's 1533-position model. The record is from RNAcentral.